AAUGAACGCUGGCGGCGUGGAUUAGGCAUGCAAGUCGGACGAGAACGUUACUUCGGUAACUAGUAAAGUGGCGAAAGGGUUAGUAAUACAUGGAUAACCUACCCUUCAGACGGGGAUAACUCGAUGAAAAUCGAACUAAUACCCGAUGAUAUCUUUAUCUUCGGAUUAAAGAUCAAACGGUGCUCUUAGGAGUUCUGCUGAAGGAGGGGUUCAUGGCCUACUAGUUUGUUGGUGGGGUAAAGGCCUACCAAGACUAUGAUGGGUAGCCGGACUGAGAGGUCGAUCGGCAACACUGGAACUGAGACACUGUCCAG
RNAcentral lists this ribosomal RNA (314 nucleotides) under uncultured bacterium. RNAcentral's name for it is "bacterial SSU rRNA". It matches the Rfam family "Bacterial small subunit ribosomal RNA", at positions 29 to 334 of the family's 1533-position model. The record is from RNAcentral.